CCUACGGGGGGCAGCAGUGGGGAAUAUUGCACAAUGGGGGAAACCCUGAUGCAGCAACGCCGCGUGAGUGAAGAAGUAUUUCGGUAUGUAAAGCUCUAUCAGCAGGGAAGAAGAAAGACAGUACCUGACCAAGAAGCCCCGGCUAACUACGUGCCAGCAGCCGCGGUAAUACGUAGGGGGCAAGCGUUAUCCGGAUUCACUGGGCGUAAAGGGAGCGCAGGCGGCACGGCAAGUCUGAUGUGAAAACCCGGGGCUCAACCCCGGGACUGCAUUGGAAACUGCCGGGCUGGAGUGUCGGAAGGGUA
This 305-nucleotide ribosomal RNA is filed under the name uncultured bacterium. RNAcentral's name for it is "bacterial SSU rRNA". It matches the Rfam family "Bacterial small subunit ribosomal RNA", at positions 338 to 659 of the family's 1533-position model. The record is from RNAcentral.